Molecule: ribosomal RNA, 725 nt
Filed under: gamma proteobacterium H424
Lineage: Bacteria; Pseudomonadati; Pseudomonadota; Gammaproteobacteria
Description: bacterial SSU rRNA
Rfam family: Bacterial small subunit ribosomal RNA
Source: RNAcentral
UGGUAGUCAUUAACACAUGCAAGUCGAGCGGAAACGAGAAGUGCUUGCACUUCGGCGUCGAGCGGCGGACGGGUGAGUAAUGCUUGGGAAUAUGCCUUGAGGUGGGGGACAACAGUUCCAAACGACUGCUAAUACCGCAUAAUGUCUACGGACCAAAGGAGGGGAUCUUCGGACCUUUCGCCUUUAGAUUAGCCCAAGUGAGAUUAGCUAGAUGGUGGGGUAAUGGCCUACCAUGGCGACGAUCUCUAGCUGGUUUGAGAGGAUGAUCAGCCACACUGGUACUGAGACACGGCCCAGACUCCUACGGGAGGCAGCAGUGGGGAAUAUUGCACAAUGGGGGAAACCCUGAUGCACCCAUGCCGCGUGUGUGAAGAAGGCCUUCGGGUUGUAAAGCACUUUCAGUUGUGAGGAAAGGUAAGUAGUUAAUAACUGCUUGCUGUGACGUUAGCAACAGAAGAAGCACCGGCUAACUCCGUGCCAGCAGCCGCGGUAAUACGGAGGGUGCGAGCGUUAAUCGGAAUUACUGGGCGUAAAGCGUGCGUAGGCGGUUUGUUAAGCAAGAUGUGAAAGCCCAGGGCUCAACCUUGGAACUGCAUUUUGAACUGGCAAACUAGAGUUUUGUAGAGGGUGGUGGAAUUUCCAGUGUAGCGGUGAAAUGCGUAGAGAUUGGAAGGAACAUCAGUGGCGAAGGCGGCCACCUGGACAAAAACUGACGCUGAGGCUCG